Molecule: long non-coding RNA, 239 nt
Organism: Sinocyclocheilus grahami
Lineage: Eukaryota; Metazoa; Chordata; Actinopteri; Cypriniformes; Cyprinidae
Exons: 3
Source: RefSeq, a predicted model, not a curated record
CUGGCAACACGGUAGGUGCUACAGCGGAUAGCAGAGAGCGGGUUUAGUUUGUUAAAAGCUUUUUGCCCUUUAACAAUCUACACAGGAAGCCCACUCUUUACAAAAUGGGGGUGAAAGAUCGCCCUCAGUGCUAUUUUGAUGUGGAAAUCAACAGGGAACCAGUUGGACGAAUUGUCUUUCAACUGUUCUCCGAUAUUUGUCCCAAGACAAGCAAAAAUUUUCUUUGCCUGUGCACUGGU